RNAcentral lists this ribosomal RNA (415 nucleotides) under uncultured prokaryote. Its description in RNAcentral is "bacterial SSU rRNA". It matches the Rfam family "Archaeal small subunit ribosomal RNA", at positions 330 to 747 of the family's 1478-position model. The record is from RNAcentral.
GUGCAGCAGGCGCGAAACCUUCGCAAUGCGCGAAAGCGUGACGAGGGGAAUCUGAGUGGCUUCGCACCGCGAAGCCUUUUGCUGAGUGUAUAAAGGCUCGGCGAAUAAGGGGUGGGUAAGACGGUUGCCAGCCGCCGCGAUAAUAACCCCGCCCCGAGUGGUGGCCGCUUUUAUUGGGCCUAAAGCGUCCGUAGCCGGCCUGGAAAGUCCACAGUCAAAGCCUACUGCAAACAGUGGAAUUGCUGUGGAUACUAUCAGGCUAGGGACCGGAAGAGGCCGGGGGUAUGGCCAGGGUAGGGGUUAAAUCCGUUAAUCCUGGCAGGACCACCUGUGGCGAAGGCGCCCGGCUGGAACGGCUCCGACGGUGAGGGACGAAAGCUAGGGGAGCGAUCGGGAUUAGAUACCCCGGUAGUCC